CCUACGUGGAGCUGCAGUGGGGAAUAUUGGACAAUGGGCGAAAGCCUGAUCCAGCCAUGCCGCGUGUGUGAAGAAGGCCUUCGGGUUGUAAAGCACUUUCAGUGGGGAAGAAAGCCUUGGGGCUAAUACCCUCGAGGAAGGACAUCACCCACAGAAGAAGCACCGGCUAACUCCGUGCCAGCAGCCGCGGUAAUACGGAGGGUGCGAGCGUUAAUCGGAAUUACUGGGCGUAAAGCGCGCGUAGGCGGUCUGAUAAGCCGGUUGUGAAAGCCCCGGGCUCAACCUGGGAACGGCAUCCGGAACUGUCAGGCUAGAGUGCAGGAGAGGAAGGUAGAAUUCCCGGUGUAGCGGUGAAAUGCGUAGAGAUCGGGAGGAAUACCAGUGGCGAAGGCGGCCUUCUGGACUGACACUGACGCUGAGGUGCGAAAGCGUGGGUAGCAAACAGGAUUAGAUACCCUAGUAGU
Molecule: ribosomal RNA, 464 nt
Filed under: Vreelandella stevensii
Lineage: Bacteria; Pseudomonadati; Pseudomonadota; Gammaproteobacteria; Oceanospirillales; Halomonadaceae
Description: partial 16S ribosomal RNA
Rfam family: Bacterial small subunit ribosomal RNA
Source: RNAcentral